CCCUAGUAUAACUAGAUGCACGAUGGCUUGCGCCGGGAUUCCUAGAAGUAGCCGCAAUGGUCUUUUUCAAGGCUUAGCUAACUGAAAGAUUUUGGGUCUCUUGGCCUAAUCUGUGGGGAACCGGGCCCUAGAGACGGAGAGGGCACAUUACGCAGUACAUCCGAUGGACGGCUGCCCUGGAAUCCUAAAGUUGCUACCGAGUGCACUAAGGUAGCCUACGGAUUCCGGAAGACUGCCUACGGCUUGCCC
This 249-nucleotide long non-coding RNA is filed under the name Malus domestica (apple). RNAcentral describes it as "long non-coding RNA (MDOM_LNC003148)". Lineage: Eukaryota; Viridiplantae; Streptophyta; Magnoliopsida; Rosales; Rosaceae. The record is from RNAcentral.